GCAUCAUGRUUUACAUUUGAGUGAGUGGCGAACUGGUGAGUAACACGUGGGAAACCUGCCCAGAAGCGGGGGAUAACACCUGGAAACAGAUGCUAAUACCGCAUAACAACUUGGACCGCAUGGUCCGAGCUUGAAAGAUGGCUUCGGCUAUCACUUUUGGAUGGUCCCGCGGCGUAUUAGCUAGAUGGUGGGGUAACGGCUCACCAUGGCAAUGAUACGUAGCCGACCUGAGAGGGUAAUCGGCCACAUUGGGACUGAGACACGGCCCAAACUCCUACGGGAGGCAGCAGUAGGGAAUCUUCCACAAUGGACGAAAGUCUGAUGGAGCAACGCCGCGUGAGUGAAGAAGGGUUUCGGCUCGUAAAACUCUGUUGUUAAAGAAGAACAUAUCUGAGAGUAACUGUUCAGGUAUUGACGGUAUUUAACCAGAAAGCCACGGCUAACUACGUGCCAGCAGCCGCGGUAAUACG
This 470-nucleotide ribosomal RNA is filed under the name Lactiplantibacillus plantarum. RNAcentral's name for it is "bacterial SSU rRNA". It matches the Rfam family "Bacterial small subunit ribosomal RNA", at positions 69 to 527 of the family's 1533-position model. Lineage: Bacteria; Bacillati; Bacillota; Bacilli; Lactobacillales; Lactobacillaceae. The record is from RNAcentral.